UGAGUACACCCUUCACAUUUUUGUAAAUAUUUUAGUAUAUCUUUUCAUGUGACAACACUGAAGAAAUGACAUUCUGCUACAAUGUAAAGUAGUAAGUGUACAGCCUGUAUAACAGUGUAAAUUUGCUGUCCCCUCAAAAUAACUCAACACACAGUCAUUAAUGUUAGCAACAAAAGUGAGUACUCCCCUAAGUGGAAAUGUCCAAAUUGGGCCCAAACUGUCAAUAUUUUGUGUGGCCAAUUUGAUGCAGUGUGCGGCGUAUGAUCUGAGCACUGACAGACUGACCCCCCCGCCACCCAUUCAACCUCUGCAGCAAUGUUGGCAGCACUCAUAUGUCUAUUUCCCAAAGACAACCACUGGAUAUGACGCUGAGCAUAUGGCACUCAACUUCUUUGGUCAACCAUGGCGAGGCCUAUUCUGAGUGGAACCUGGCCUGUGACACCGCUGUAUGGUUUUGCCCACCGUCCUGCAGCUCAGUUUCAGGGUCUUGGCAAUCUUCUUAUAUCCUAGGCCAUCUUUAUGUCGAGCAACAAUUAUUUUUUUCAGAUCCUCAGAGACUUCUUUGCCAUGAGGUGCCAUGUUGAACUUCCAGUGACCUGCAUGAGAGUGUGAGAGAAAUAACACCA
Non-coding RNA from Pelobates cultripes (western spadefoot toad), 626 nucleotides. NCBI's taxonomy places the organism in Eukaryota, Metazoa, Chordata, Amphibia, Anura, Pelobatidae. The record is from the annotation of a GenBank genome assembly.